This is an RNA transcript of Triplophysa rosa, 8017 nucleotides long. It is a transcript of the gene named ICOS ligand-like, with no coding region annotated. The record is from RefSeq and is a predicted model, not a curated record. The transcript is spliced from 8 exons. NCBI's taxonomy places the organism in Eukaryota, Metazoa, Chordata, Actinopteri, Cypriniformes, Nemacheilidae.
GAUUCAGAGUCGAUUACCUUUUUUAUAAGCUAAUAGCUUUGUUAUUCGUUCACCUUCGGAUUUACAACUUGGCAGAUUGCUUACAUUCAAACACGGCAAAAUUAAACACUUCAUGAAAUGUAUUUUUUAUGAUCUCGAGGAAUGUACUCUUUAACAGAGUGUGAGUGAGGAGACACCCUAAGAAAUGGAGGUCUGCCUGGUAACUUCGGACGGAGGCUUCUGUAUUGGCAGAGAAGAGAGUCACCCCACCGGGCUCUGGGAGGGACCAAACAAGAAUAUAAAAAUAUGUGUGAUGUGUUUGUAAAGCGUUCUGGAAUGCCCAGAUGCUCUUGAUGUAUCUGUUGUUCGGAAUCCUGAGCUCAGCUCGAUCUAUUUUACUCGCCUUCUAUUCUAAAUAAAAUCAAUCUGAUCAUAGACGUUGUAUGAGCGAUUUCUGAACCGGGGAAGGACUGUAUGAUUUCAGUCCAACACAGUAUACAGAGCUAAGGUUUUUUUUUAAAGAGUAAAAAAGAGAUAGAAGUCAGAACUGAUCAGUCAGGUAUUGACGGAAGAGAUGUGUUUUCAGACGGUUCUUAAAGAUGGCUACAGAAUCUGCUGAUCUUGUAGCAGCGGGCAGAUCAUUCCAUAAAUGUGGAACCGAUCCAGAGAAGGUACGUGAGAGAGAUUUUUUACCUUUUUGCGAUGGCACCACAAGACGUCGUUCGCGUGCAGAGCGUAGGGAUCUGGCGGGUAUAUAAGUCUGCAUUAGCGAGUGAAGGUAAGGGGGUGCCAAAUCAGUGGUGGUCUUGUAAGGCCAGGAGCAGAGUCUUGAAUUUGAUUGGAGCGACUAUAGGGAGCCAAUCUAGCAAUUUAUUAGGUUAAUUGACAUCAGGUCUGUUAAAUGAUUAGCUAUAAAAGGGAUGAGAGUCAGAGUCUCGGCACUAUUGGAAGGCACUAUGAAUGCUGAAAGGUAUAUAAAGGUUUUAGAGCAACAUAUGCUUUAGAUUUCAACAUCAGACAUAAAAAACACCUAAUCACAGUUUAAAAAAAGCAUGAGCAGUUUGUCCCUUCGCGCGUUCGGUUGUUUUAACUUUACUUAUUAGUUAGCUAAAUGUUAUUAUUUUUGAUCUACAUAUAGAUGGAUUUACCAAUGUUUGCAUAUUGCAGUUAUUAUUUACAACAACCGCUUAUGGUCACAAUUAGAGUAGUCUGCAGAACACAGCUAUUUUUUCUUAACACUUUUUUUUUGUAAAUGCAUAGAAGUGUAACAACAACAGGUAAUGUGGUGUUAAAAGAUUAUAUUGGUUUCACUAACUUUUAAGUUUAAUUAGGCAGACUUCCAAAAAUACUGUUACAGUAGACCAAGAGCAAAAACAAUAAAUUACAGACAGACAUAAUUAAAAAAUGAUGAAAAUAUGACUCCUGCAGAUCAUGUAGACUCUAUCGCAUCUACCUGUCGAUGGAACGAUCUGUCGUCUCCAGUGAGCGCACACCGACUGUGAGGAGUGAUCGUUAAAUGGAAACCGCGGAGUGGAAUAUGCUGACCUUUCGUGGUUUAAUAAGAGAAAGUUCUAAGCGGGGAUGUGAAUCCUCUCUUCCCUACCAAAAUGGUGUCUCAGCCUGUGAGGACAAAUGGGCAGUAGCUCAAGCCACGGAGCCACCCCCUGUUCACGCGAACGCAUUCCGGUUCCCAUCAGUCCGGGAGUUUCAAAGGUGAAAUAACUGAAAUAUUGGAGUUUCAUGGGGGGUGGCGGGAGAUGGGUGUGAAAAACGGGAGACUCCCGACAAAACUGGAGUCUUGACAGGUAUGGUUUCAACUGUUUAAAAUGAAUCAGUCAUUCUUUUGCGAGUCGUUUUGAUCACAGUGUGCGUUUAUGCUGGCAAACUCGCUGUGUGUAAAGUGUAACGCUAAUUCAACAAAACAUUCGCACAGCCUAAAAUAUUACACUGAUAAAUGCCACGUUCAUUUAAGAAACCUUUUCAAGAACGUACUUGGAUGCAAAAGAAACAAUAUUCACCUAAACAGCCGCAAAAUACAGCUAAUACAGCUCUUAGGAGAAAAGUAAACACCAACUCUCCAGCGCCUCACUGUGCUGAUAACAAAAAAGCGCCUCCAUUGUGGCGUAAUGCCACAAAUGCAGUUAAAAAAAUGACAGUCCAUUGAGUGCACGCAGUGUUUUUUAUGAAGACAGUCAACCUAUCACUUUGGUGUCAGUCGGAGUGGCCGCCCUCCAAUUUCUCUAUGCAGGAAAAAACCCUGUGUACAGUGUCAGAGAAAUUCACUGAAACAUGAUGUCCACUACAUAGGACAAAUUGCUAUGCUUGGGUCUCAGGAGGUUAAUAGGGCCAUUAGGGUUGGGAUUUUAUCUUUAUCUGUGUGAAACACAUCAAUAUUCAUUGCCAUUGACACUCCCUCGCAUGUGGCCUUUUCACAACAAAACGUGUCUCACAAAAGUUAAAUUACUAUAUUGUAUAUAGGUGAAUGAGUGAGCAGAAUGGUUUUUAUAUAUUUUUGUAGCAAACUCAUUAGUCUACAAAAUCCAAUACACAAGUUGGAACACAUGUUUAGUAUAUGUUGUCUUACCUUAUUUCAGUGUUCUACUAACCAUGCAUAAACAUAUGUGCUUGCAUAUUAUUUUAGCACGUUUGUGCUGAAUACAGUGAAAUGAGACAAGUCAUUAUGUUUAUAAACAAACGAAAAAAGCACAAAUGUCAGAACACGUCAAAACUUCUGAAGGGCCCCAAAACAGACACCAAACCUGAAAGGAAAUGAAAGAGCAGAUGCUGCAAAGCAGGUAGCAGAACAGCCGCUGACAGUUGUCUCUUUUCGUGCAUCAAUUCUCUUCAAAAGGCUUUUAUUAACCCCUUUGAGCCGUGUGGAGCAGUUUUUUGAUCGAUGGAUUUCUUGUGGAUUUAGUGAAAAGGAUGAAUGGAUGAAGAUAUUAAUUCCUGCACUUUGUGUUUUGUUCCUAUUGUUGUUCUUUGUAAAACCAGAUUUUUUAAGUUAAUUUAACACAAUAUUUUAAUCUGAUUACCUAAAUGUAUUCAAUUGAAUUAAACACAAGUUCCAUUCAAGUAUUAUAGUGCAGUGCUGGAAAUAAAUGAUAUUGCAUUAACAAACUGCUUUUGAAAUGUGCUGUUUAAUUGAUACAGAUAGCAAGGCCUAGGGCUUGUGGGGGAACAUAGUUCAGGCUCAGGGACAAGCCAUUCAAACAUUGUCUUUGCUGUCAUCUGACACAAGACCUUACUAAAAUACAUACAAAAAAGUUUAACCAUUUUAAAUUCUUUCUUUCCCAUAUUAUUAAUGGCUAAUUGCCUAACCACUGCAGUCAAUACAUUAAACCUGGCUAAUGAAACCACAGUAACAGACCCGAUGUACAUUCACAAACGUGUCAAAAGUUAACAGGAACAACAAUAUUUAUGAGUUAAUGCUGUGAACCUCGCAUAAGAAUAAAUAUUACGUUUAGUCAAUUGUGAUUAAUUCUUAUUGCAACCAAUGUAAACACGACAGCUUGCUUCUUCGAUCAGACAUCUUCGUGUUGUAAAGAAGGACCGUUAAAGCACGCGACAUCCUGUGGAAUUCAACCAGUCAGACUUCGAACUCACUGAAAUGUUUCCAAGAAAGUGUGACUUUGCAUCACACGUACAGCCAACGGUCCGUGGGCUUGAUGUCUGAGGCUGAGACUACAGUGCAGUGUAUAAAGAUAAUGUUCUUGCACUUCUUUUGUCUUUUUGCUGCAGAACUUUCCGUAUGUCUUUGAUUCUUGCAACCUUCUUGCAAGAGACAAGAUCAAAGACAAUUAUUUGGGUUGAUUUUCAUUUCAGCCUCACCUGCAAUUUUUCAGUAGUGACUUGAGACACUUGAGAGAUACAAAGAAAGUGAACAUCUUGCUCCUUCAACCCUGAUAUUUGCCACCAGCAGUGUGCAGCACUUCUUUUACAGUUGCUGCUUCACCUGUUUGUGGCUCAUACGCCUCUGUGCUGUUUAUACCGAUUAUGCACAUGUCACAGUUGAGGGUGUUAUUGAAGGUUCUGCUGUCUUGCCAUGUAUUUCAAAUACGAAUGAGCACAAACCUGAUGACAUUAAUGUGCGUUGGAGACACAAUGGCAGCCUGAAUGUGUGUGACAUGACUAAGGGCAAAUGUUCAGUGAAGAAUCAGGACUCUACAUACAAGAACAGAAUUCAAGUCAUCUCUAAUAAUUAUGAGGAAUUAAACUUCUCCCUCAAACUCAACAAUCUUAUACACACUGAUGCUGGAGAGUACCAAUGCUUCAUCACACAUUCAUCUGAACUUGUGAAAGUACAACUGCUCAUCAAAGAAAAAACUGAAGCAAAAGUAAAAACACAAACAGCAGCAGACGAAAACCAUGCAGGUGGGACGAAGUGGAUGAAGAUAUUAAUUCCUGCACUUUGUGUUUUUUGCCAUUAUGCCUUUCUCUACCUAACCCUAUAAAUUAAUUUAAAUCAAUGUUUAAUUUUUCUAACUCCAACUUACCACUAAACAGGAACGUGACUAACUAAAUUGGGCUAAGACAACAUUGACAUGAACUAACACUGACUACACUAGGCUUUGACUUGGAAUCACAGAGCAGGAACAAGACGUUUUGUCUUUGUAAGAGAUGGAACAAAACUAACUAGCACAAGACAGAAAACACAAGAGCAUUAAAUAGGGAACCAAAUCAAGAGGGGAACAGGUGCGGGGCAUUAAAUCAUUACAGUCACUAAUGAGGGAACGAGAGGGCAGGGACAAAGACGAGACCGGAGAGAGCGCAUUGUACGGCGAGCAGAGAGCAGUAUCAUAAGUUAUUUUCUUAUUAUGAUCUUUAUACAUGUUUUUGUCUUUGUAGUCCGAGCGCCUGUACUUUCAAUUCUGAUAAAUUAUGAGAAACAAACUCUCUGUUCUUUAUAAGCCUCUGUUUGUACUAUAAUAAAUGAAGAAUCAACUUAGAUGUACCCUUGAGUGUGUGUCACUUAUUUGGUUCUCCCAGUGCCGUAAAGAGACAGAUCGACUUGGUAGUAAAAGACUGUUUGUGGGCACAAAUUAUCUAACAGUUCUGGGGGCUCGUCCAUCGGAGAAAAGAAUCCGGCGGCACGAACAAACAGCAUUCGCCACAGGUAAGUGAAUUCUUAAGUGAGUUCUUCUUUCCUGUGGGUGGAUGGCUUCCAGACUUUAGUUAGCCUUUUAAAGGGCCCCACUUUAAAUGCAGUGGAUUGCCUGCUAACGCAGAAUAUGUAAACCUGAUUAAGUUGGCUAUAAAAAGGUCCUAUGGACUACUUGCAUGUAGUCUUCCACGUUCUCCUCGAUGCUGCUCAGUCAUUUCCGGUAACAGUGUUAAGUGUAUCUACAUGCGGAGAUCAUGGUAGACUAUUUUUAGGGUGGUCACUUAAUUAAAAACAAAACAUCCUGUUUGUGAUGUUAACAUGCUUUAGUGUGGGUUUUUAUGACAGAUCUUAAAGCUACAGUUUGUAAAAACCGCCGCUAGAGGGCGGAUGAUCAAAACAACAACAAUGGCAUAGCUUGAUGAUGCUGUGAAGGAGCGUCGAAUGAGGGGAUCUGUUGUCUUCAACUCCACCACUGACGGCCAUCAAUCAGACGGGAACAGGAAAUCAUGUUAGAGGAUGUGGUAAAGUAAUAAAGUUUUAUAAAUGUUGCAUAUAAUUGUGGUCCAUAAAUAAGUGACUGCUCAAACAAGCUAGUGGCUUGCUAGACGCUAGACACUACUACACUUAUUUUGAACCGUUUAGGUUUCACAGGGAGCAACAGCCCAUAGUAAAUGCAUAUAACCAUAACCCAGUGAGCUGUACAAUUUCAAGUCGGAAGUACGUCACAAGGCUAUGUGCAAGUAGUCCAUUCGACGCAAUAGAUCGCCCUCAAAUGGAAAAUCAAAAGAGAUUUAGUUGGCUUUAACCAGGGUCCUAUUCUGAGCAACAGUAAACCAGCCAACGGAGAUCUGAAAUCCUACACACUUCGAUUGCAGGAAUCUCUCUUCCAUUUGCUUGCACUGUAAUCCCAAACAGUUGUACUAGCUCAUAACUAAUAAGGUCACAACAGUCAAAUGUCGUUAUGCAGUUGACCAAACUAUAAAGUUUUGAGCUCUAUUGAGAUUUAUGCCACUUUAAUUGAAUAGGGCUCAAUAUUUUAUAGCUAAUUUGUGUGGAACACUCAAAAAGUUUAGAAACCACACGGUAGUGUCAUGACGUUAUUGACGUAAUGACGUUCUGGUGGGUGGGUCUUAUCUCUCCCUCAGGAAAGCUGAGUCAGCCAUCUUGAAUUUGCCUUGAUGCGGGGAAGUCUUGGCCAGCCCGUGUGGAUGUGGAACAAAGUUUAAUUUGUUUUUAUUUGUUUGUAAUGCGCACUUUUAUCCCCCCGCUUCAAACCACCACCACCUCAGUUUUUUUCAUUAGUCUUAUUGCCCUCGUUUUCUUCAGCGCCGUCUUAUCAUCAGCCCUUCUGAUUUGGUAAGUAACGUUAACGCUAAGUUUUUUUUUUUUUUGAAUUUCGAUAAAUAGUAUUAAAUUUGGAACUGGGAAUACAUUUGUACAAUGUGCACAGUGAAUAUUUGUUGUAAAUAGUUUACAAAUCCAAGUAAUUGUAACGUUAGAAGUUGUUGAAUGUGCAAAUAAAAGUUACGUCUCACAAUCUUACAACGGUGAAACGUUUUCAGCGGGUUUCCUGGAUGAACUACAUUUGGACGGUGGAGGAAGGUCCAUGAGUCUGAACUCUCUGGCGGGGGCCAAAAACAUAACUUUAUCCCUGCUUCCCGGUUUCUGCCGGUUGUUGUUUUCGCUGUUCGCCGGUAAUGCACGUGAGUACGGCUCAAGUGUGUGGUUGUGAGAUCAUCUCGAAAUCAUUAUAACAGUUCAGAUAUCGGACUACAAAGAGUGCUACAGAGAGUCAGCGUUUCACCAUCAGACAGGCUGAAGUUGGCCCAAUGGAGUGGAAGUGCAAGUUGUGUUCUGCAACAUCAAAUACCCGGGGACAAUUAUUGCACUUCCUGUGUACCUGCGUGGAGAUGCCUCCAAGUUCUUCAGGACCUGUAAUUCAGCAGAUGGUCCAGACCUCACUGACACUCCGGUGGCUCUGCUGACAGUUGAUGACACUACUGAUGCGGCCCUCUUCAGCCCUGAGAGCAUCUGUAUUGUUGUGGAGGAUGAAAUACUUGUGAGUGGUCCCACAAAUCUGGCUGACUCAUUUCUCCUGCUCCUUGGGUACGUCUAUGCACUAGACCUACAGUACCCAAAGAAUCUCGAACUUACAUUCAUCCAAAAAGUUGUGAUGUGUCUUGAGGACAACAAACCACUGAAAGGGCGUCUAAUGACGCUGAAGAAUGAUUUGUUCAAUGAGUGAAUCACUCAGAAUGGAUUAUUUGUUGAGCUGAGUAUUGAGGAAGUUUUUUGGUUUUUUUCCCCUCUUUACAAAUGUAAUCAUUUGCAUCUUACCUCAGAUUUAAGAUGUGACACUGUUUGCCUCUUCUACCUCAGACAUUCAAAAAGUGUUAAAUGGCUCCACAUUCUAAUAGUUGUCAUUGCUGUUGAGGAUGGAUUAUACUUAGAAUCUUAUUGAAUUUUAUCAUGAAUCCUUUGUGAGUUUUUAUCAUAAUGUUUAUUGAAUAAUGUGAGAUGGAGACCCAAAAUACUGAAUCUACCCUCUGUAGCAAUGACCACUAUCAGAAUAUGGAACUAUUAACACUUAAUGUACUUUAAAACAGAUUUUGUUUUUGAGUCAUUUCCUUUUGUUUUAAUUUAUGACAAGCACUUUGUUUUGACUGAGCUCCUUUGAUUCGUGCCUUUUAAAAAGCACAUUGUGUUGAAUAAAAAAAGUUGUUAAAUUGUCACUGUGGUGUCACUUUCAUGUUUUCUAAUAUUAUUAGCUGAUUAUAAUUGUGUAGUGGGCUGACAUCAGUAUUUCAGUUUAGAAUUAAUUUUGAGUGCAUGUCCCACAUUUUGAGUUGAAAAAUAUUAAAAAUUUUGAGUGUAUUUCCCACAUUUUGAGUUGAAAAAUAUUAAAAAUUUUGAGUGUAUUUCCCACAUUAUAUG